GUAAAUAAUUUUUUUGUAGGAGCGUAAAAGCAAAAUAAAUUCAUACAUACUGUAAUACAGUAAGCCAGAGUAUUUAAUUUAAUUUACAAUAACCAGUGGGUCCCUGAAUAACUAAAAGUAAGGAAGACUGUGAACCUACAGUUUGGAGGAUGCAAAUCCAAUGGUAGCCUCGAUAAAAUCAGCUAUCUACAGCCUAUUCUGAGCU
RNAcentral lists this long non-coding RNA (205 nucleotides) under Theobroma cacao (cacao). RNAcentral's name for it is "long non-coding RNA (TCAC_LNC001714)". The record is from RNAcentral. Lineage: Eukaryota; Viridiplantae; Streptophyta; Magnoliopsida; Malvales; Malvaceae.